Molecule: RNA transcript, 4146 nt
Organism: Glycine soja
Lineage: Eukaryota; Viridiplantae; Streptophyta; Magnoliopsida; Fabales; Fabaceae
Gene name: TMV resistance protein N-like
Exons: 6
Source: RefSeq, a predicted model, not a curated record
UAAUAUUUUUUUAUUGAACAGGAAGAAUUGGAGGGUUUAAUAGAUAGAGAGAAUAGAGAAGAUGGAGAGGGAGAACUCAUUCCUCAACAAGUUAGUCAGGACCUUGCUUGUGCUUGUAUAAAUAGAUAGAUGGGGAGGGAGAACAUCAUUCCUCAACAAGUUAGCCUUUGCUGUUGCAGUUUCUAUGGCUUCCAACAACAACAGCAGCAGCAGCAGCAGCAGCAUCAUCGUCCAACAUUGCAACUACUCUUCAUAUGACGUGUUUGUGAGCUUCAGAGGUAAGGACACACGCAACAAUUUUACUGAUCAUCUUUUUGGUGCAUUCCAUAGGAAAAAAAUUCGUACAUUUAGGGAUGACACAAGGCUGAAGAAAGGGGAACGUAUACUAUCCAACCUCAUGCAAGCAAUUGAGGGGUCUCAGAUUUUUGUCAUUGUCUUCUCAAAGAACUAUGCUUUUUCAUCAUGGUGCUUGAAAGAACUUGCUAAGAUCCUUGAUUGUGUUAGAGUCUCCGGAAAACAUGUUCUGCCUAUUUUUUACGAUGUUGAUCCAUCUGAAGUGCGAAAUCAGACGGGGGAUUAUGAGAAAGCCUUCGCCAAACACGAAGAUAGAGAGAAGAUGGAGGAAGUGAAAAGAUGGAGAGAAGCUCUCACACAAGUAGCCAAUCUCGCUGGUUGGGAUAUGAGGAAUAAGUCACAAUAUGCUGAGAUUGAAAAAAUUGUUCAAGAGAUAAUAAGUAAAUUGGGUCACAAUUUUUCAAGUCUUCCAAAUGAUCUAGUUGGGAUGGAAUCUCCUGUUGAAGAAUUAGAAAAACUUUUACUUUUGGACCUAACUGAUGAUGUUCGCAUUGUAGGAAUUUGUGGGAUGGGUGGAAUAGGAAAGACAACUCUUGCUACUGUUUUAUAUGAUAGAAUCUCUCAUCAAUUUGAUGCUCACUGUUUCAUUGAUAAUGUAAGCAAAACUUAUAGACAUUGUGGCCAAAUUGGUGUUCUAAAGCAGCUGCUUCAUCAAACUCUAAAUGAAGACCUUCAGAUAUGCAAUCUUUACCACGCAGCUAAUUUGAUGCAAAGUAGGCUACGCUAUGUAAAGAGCAUUAUAGUUCUUGAUAAUGUUAAUGAAGUUGAACAACUAGAGAAAUUAGUUUUGAAUCGUGAAUGGUUAGGUGCAGGGAGUAGAAUCAUCAUAAUUUCUAGAGACAAGCAUGUCUUGAAAAAGUGUGGAGUGACUGUAGUCUACAAAGUUCAACUCUUGAAUGGUGCUAAUUCUCUUAAAUUGUUCUGUAAAAAAGCUUUCGAUUCUGUUGAUAUCACGGGAGAUUAUGAAGAGUUGAAAUAUGAAGUCUUAAAAUAUGCCAAUGACCUACCACUAGCAAUUAAAGUACUAGGUUCGGUUUUGUCUGGUCGAAGUGUCUCAUAUUGGAGAAGUUACUUGGAUAGACUUAAAGAGAAUCCUAACAAAGAUAUUCUGGAUGUGCUUCGAAUUAGUUAUGAUGAACUUCAGGAUUUGGAAAAGGAAAUAUUUUUAGAUAUUGCUUGUUUCUUCUGUGGAAACGAAGAAUUAUAUGUGAAGAAAGUUUUAGAUUGUUGUGGGUUUCAUUCUGAAAUUGGAAUAAGAGCCCUCGUUGAUAAAUCACUCAUAGAUAAUUCAAGUGGAUUCAUUGAAAUGCAUAAUUUGUUGAAAGUUUUAGGCAGAACAAUUGUUAAAGGCAAUGCACCCAAAGAGCCAGGAAAGUGGAGCAGGGUUUGGCUCCACGAAGAUUUCUACAAUAUGUCGAAGGCAACGGAAACAACAAACAAUGAAGCCAUUGUUUUAGACAGAGAGAUGGAAAUAUUGAUGGCUGGUGCUGAAGCAUUGUCCAAAAUGAGCAACCUUAGGUUGCUCAUAUUCCGUGAUGUGAAGUUUAUGGGAAUACUUAAUUCAGUUAAUUGUCUCUCCAAUAAACUACAAUUUCUUGAGUGGUAUAACUAUCCUUUCUCCUAUUUGCCAUCAAGUUUUCAGCCGAACCUGCUGGUUGAAUUGAUCUUGCAACAUAGCAACAUCAAACAAUUAUGGAAAGGCAUAAAGCAUCUGCCAAAUUUAAGAGCUUUGGAUCUCAGUUACUCCAAGAAUCUUAUUGAGGCUCCAGACUUUGGAGGGGUCCUUAAUCUUGAGUGGAUAAUUCUUGAAGGAUGCACAAAUCUUGCACGGAUCCAUCCAUCAGUUGGACUUCUAAGAAAACUUGCUUUCUUGAAUUUGAAAAACUGCAUUAGUCUAGUAAGUCUACCCAGCAACAUAUUGAGUCUAAGUUCUCUUGGAUAUCUAAAUAUCUCUGGCUGUCCAAAAGUAUUUAGUAAUCAGCUGUUAGAGAAACCAAUACAUGAGGAGCAUUCUAAGAUGCCUGAUAUCAGGCAAACUGCCAUGCAAUUUCAAUCAACAUCCUCCUCCAUCUUCAAGAGACUUAUUAAUUUAACUUUCCGUUCCUCCUACUAUUCUAGAGGGUAUAGAAAUUCAGCUGGUUGUUUGUUGCCUUCCUUGCCUACCUUCUUUUGUAUGCGUGACCUUGAUCUAAGUUUCUGCAAUCUAAGCCAAAUCCCUGAUGCUAUUGGAUCCAUGCAUUCUUUAGAAACCUUGAAUUUAGGGGGAAACAACUUUGUUAGCCUCCCUUAUAGCAUCAACCAGCUUUCAAAACUUGUACAUUUAAACUUGGAGCAUUGUAAGCAAUUGAGAUAUUUUCCUGAGAUGCCAUCACCUACUUCCUUGCCCGUAAUAAGAGAAACCUACAACUUUGCUCAUUACCCUAGGGGAUUAUUUAUUUUUAACUGUCCUAAAAUAGUUGACAUUGCACGUUGUUGGGGCAUGACUUUUGCAUGGAUGAUACAAAUUCUUCAGGUUAGCCAAGAAUCAGAUACCCGUAUUGGUUGGAUUGACAUUGUUGUUCCGGGAAAUCAAAUACCAAAAUGGUUCAACAAUCAAAGUGUUGGUACUUCAAUAAGCCUAGACCCAUCUCCCAUUAUGCAUGGCAAUCAUUGGAUUGGCAUUGCUUGCUGCGUGGUAUUUGUGGCAUUUGAUGAUGCAACUGAUUUGCAUCCGAAUUUGAGAUCCUCUAUAAGAAUUGGUUUUAAAACAGAGUCCUACUCUUCCUCUCUUGAUAUUCCUAUACUUAUUAAUAAGGAUCUAGUAACGGUCGGAUUGCAUCACUUGUGGCUACUCUAUUUGAGUAGGGAGGAGUUUUUUUUCCUAUUUUAAAAUAGAAAAAAUGCUUGAUCUUCACGGCAUCAAAAUGCAAUCCACCGUCUGGCACUCUCAAGGUUUAAAUUUGGAGGUGCACGGUUGCGGAUAUCAGUGGGUAUUUAAGGAGGAUUUGGACACCCUAAACCUAACAAUAAUGCGAAGAGGAUACAACGAAACUCACGUUGAUGAUGAUUUUGUGAAGGGCGUUUCAAUCCUUUCUUUGGAAGAUGGAAACUAGCCAGGAUGGCCUCCAUCUUGUUCUUAAGGUAGUCCUUAGCAUAUGCUCACUGUAUAUAUAUGAUUGCUGGAUCCACAAUUUGAUAAUAUUGAAAGCCCUAUUUGAUCCAUUGCUGCCUGUAUAUGGUAUCAACAACUUUUGCUUAACAACACCGUUCUAAAAUCAACCACCAUGACUUCCUCAUCCACUUCCCCUACCAACACCAUCCCAUUCAAUGACUCACAAUCUCUGGUUGUCCUCAACACUCAGUCUUCCAUCAAACUAAAAGGCACUAACUAGCUUGGAGAGUUAACUCAACGACUCUCCUCGUUGGGUAUGAUCUCGUCGGAUUCGUUGAAGGCACGACCACGUGCCACGCAUCCGAUCAUCAAGACUCAUUAUUGGACACGACAGGACCAACUCAUUCUGCAUGCCUCUAUGGAUUGUGAUAACCAUGCUUUUGGCAACGUCAAAACCACAAAACGAGCAUGGAACAUCCUCAAAAAUAUGUUUGCGAGCAAAACUAGAGUCUGCAUCAUGUAUCUCAAAGAGCAUCUGUCUUGCUACACAAAUAGGAUCAAGAUUGACUUACUAACACUUAAUUUCAGUAUUUUAUGGUUUUUUUUUUCAUUGAACAACUUUUUUAUUUUUUUUACAUAGUGUACAUAUGUAAUAACUGUUAUAUUUAUUAAUAAUAUUUUUUUAUAUAUAGUGCACUAUA